CAUGAAGCUGGAAUCGCUAGUAAUCGCAGAUCAGAAUGCUGCGGUGAAUACGUUCCCGGGUCUUGUACACACCGCCCGUCACACCAUGGGAGUCGGGAAUGCCCGAAGUCAGUGACCCAACCGCAAGGAGGGAGCUGCCGAAGGCAGGCUCGAUAACUGGGGUGAAGUCGUAACAAGGUAUC
This 182-nucleotide ribosomal RNA is filed under the name uncultured bacterium. Its description in RNAcentral is "partial 16S ribosomal RNA". It matches the Rfam family "Bacterial small subunit ribosomal RNA", at positions 1319 to 1500 of the family's 1533-position model. The record is from RNAcentral.